UGCCAGACUCCUACGGGAGGCAGCAGUGGGGAAUAUUGCACAAUGGGGGGAACCCUGAUGCAGCGACGCCGCGUGGGUGAAGGAGCACCUCGGUGCGUAAAGCCCUAUCGGCAGGGGAGAAACAGACGGUACCUGACUAAGAAGCCCCGGCUAACUACGUGCCAGCAGCCGCGGUAAUACGUAGGGGGCAAGCGUUAUCCGGGUUCACUGGGUGUAAAGGGAGCGUAGACGGCGACGCAAGUCUGGAGUGAAAGCCCGGGGCCCAACCCCGGGACUGCUCUGGAAACUGCGGCGCUGGAGUACGGGAGGGGCAGGCGGAAUGCCUGGUGUAGCGGUGAAAUGCGUAGAUAUCAGGAGGAACACCGGCGGCGAAGGCGGCCUGCUGGACUGCAACUGACGUUGAGGCCCGAAAGCGUGGGGAGCAAACAGGAUUAGAUACCCCAGUAAAA
Molecule: ribosomal RNA, 449 nt
Filed under: uncultured bacterium
Lineage: Bacteria
Description: partial 16S ribosomal RNA
Rfam family: Bacterial small subunit ribosomal RNA
Source: RNAcentral